UGUCCCAACCUCCCACAUGAUGAAAUGAUCCUUUUAAAGCGGGCUCAAUAUGUCUCAAUCUGCACUCCUCUGCCUUCUCUAAAGCUUCUGGGUUCGGAACAUAGCCCAGAAAUAUAUUAAUUAAAGCGCACUCUACAUCGGACGUUUUAGUACUGAGGAGGAAGACGCGGUCGGAUCAAGUCAAGCUCUGUCAACGAUGGAUGGAUGAAGAUUCAUGGCAGGAAAAAGAGGGGAAAAAGGCAAUCAAUGCUGCAGCACUCUCUCGUUCACCCUGAACUGGCUGUGAACUCCCCCGGAACGCCGCCAGCCUCUCCACCCUAUCCCAUCGCAGUUGAGGGUCACCAUGGGGGUGUCUCUGUGCCAAUAUGCAGAUGAGCCUGUGUCCCUCCAAUGACUCUGGCGUUAAGCUCCACCCCUCUGUUUGUGUGUGUGUGUGUGUGUGUGGGGGGGGGGGAUUCUUUGAUAUGAAGUCUCACCCCCAGACAAGACUCACAUGCAGACAUAAACCUGCUCUCACACAGACUUAAACAGUCUUUUAACAACUUACAUCCACUCUUCCUUUAUUGGCUGAAGUGUGCUAAAGCUAAUGGACAUUGUCAAAGCUGAAAUGUGUACUGAUUUAGAGGCGAAAGCACAAUGAGCUGACAGAGACAGAAGGAAAGGAAUUGCGUCAGCUAUGCCACAAAUCAAAGUAAUAUUUUUAAAAGGUGUGGAGAUGAGGUGUCAUUUGGCUGUAUCUUUGUGUGUAAAGUGAACCCAUAAACAGCCAAUAAGUACUGCUUUAACUUCAAUUUUGGCACACAACUAUAAGGGUUUUUCUGUAAGGUAUAAUGUAUUGGUAUAAAGAUUUAAUGGACAAAGUUUUUGUGAAAAACCAAAAAUAUUAUCUUGCAUUUAACUGAUAAACUUUGAAAUUAAA
Long non-coding RNA from Melanotaenia boesemani (Boeseman's rainbowfish), 919 nucleotides. RefSeq lists it as uncharacterized. NCBI's taxonomy places the organism in Eukaryota, Metazoa, Chordata, Actinopteri, Atheriniformes, Melanotaeniidae. The transcript is spliced from 2 exons. The record is from RefSeq and is a predicted model, not a curated record.